RNAcentral lists this ribosomal RNA (360 nucleotides) under Musca confiscata. RNAcentral describes it as "partial 16S ribosomal RNA". Lineage: Eukaryota; Metazoa; Arthropoda; Insecta; Diptera; Muscidae. The record is from RNAcentral.
AUUAAAUGGCCGCAGUAUAUUAACUGUGCAAAGGUAGCAUAAUCAUUAGUCUUUUAAUUGAAGGCUCGUAUGAAUGGUUGGACGAAAUAUUAACUGUUUCAUAUAAAUUUUUAAUAAAAUUUUAUUUUUUAGUUAAAAAGCUAAAAUUUAUUUAAAAGACGAGAAGACCCUAUAAAUCUUUAUAUUUAAAUUAUUAUAAUUUUAUAGUUUAUUUUUAUUAUAAUAAUUAAUAAUAUUUUAUUGGGGUGAUAUUAAAAUUUAAUUAACUUUUAAUUUAAAAAAUUCAUUAAUUUAUGAUUUAUUGAUCCAUUAUUAUUGAUUAAAAAUUUAAGUUAGGGAUAACAGCGUAAUUUUUUUAGA